Molecule: transfer RNA, 66 nt
Filed under: Oryzias latipes (Japanese medaka)
Lineage: Eukaryota; Metazoa; Chordata; Actinopteri; Beloniformes; Adrianichthyidae
Rfam family: tRNA
About the family: Transfer RNA (tRNA) molecules are approximately 80 nucleotides in length.
Source: Rfam by way of RNAcentral
ACCAGGAUGGCCGAGUGGUUAAGGUGUUAGCGUAUGCUCAUGUGGGUUCAAAUCCCACUCCUGGUA